RNAcentral lists this ribosomal RNA (403 nucleotides) under uncultured bacterium. RNAcentral's name for it is "partial 16S ribosomal RNA". It matches the Rfam family "Bacterial small subunit ribosomal RNA", at positions 30 to 526 of the family's 1533-position model. The record is from RNAcentral.
AUUGAACGCUGGCGGCAGGCCUAACACAUGCAAGUCGAGCGAGAGGCGGGCGGGUGAGUAAUGUAUGUGGACUGUCCGAUAUAGAGGGAUAAAUACACGAAACGGUAGCUAAUACCGCAUACUAUCGGAUAACCCAUAUGGGAUUAGCUCGUAGGGGAGGUAAUGGCUCACCUAGGCGACGAUCCCUAGCUGGGCUGAGAGGGUGAUCAGCCACACUGGGAGUGAGAAACGGCCCAGACUCCUACGGAGGCAGCAGUGGGGAAUAUUGCACCAUGGGGGCAAGCCUGAUGCCGCCAUGCCGCGUGUAAGAAGAAGGCCCUAGGGUUGUAAAAUACUUUCAGUCGGGAGGCGUUACCGACCGGAGAAGCCCCGGCUAACUCCGUGCCAGCAGCCGCGGUAAUAC